GACGAACGCUGGCGGCGUGCUUAACACAUGCAAGUCGAACGGAAAGGCUCCAGCUUGCUGGAGUACUCGAGUGGCGAACGGGUGAGUAACACGUGGGUAAUCUGCCCUGCACUCUGGGAUAAGCCUGGGAAACUGGGUCUAAUACUGGAUAUGACCUUUCUCCUUAUGGGGUUUGGUGGAAAGUUUUUCGGUGUAGGAUGAGCCCGCGGCCUAUCAGCUUGUUGGUGGGGUGAGGGCCUACCAAGGCGACGACGGGUAGCCGGCCUGAGAGGGUGAUCGGCCCCAUUGUGCCUGAGAUACCGCCCAUACUCCUACGGGAGGCAGCAGUGGGGAAUAUUGCACACUGGGCGGCAGCCUGAUGCAGCGACGCCGCGUGAGGGAUGACGGCCUUCGGGUUGUAAACCUCUUUCAGCAGGGACGAAGCGUAAGUGACGGUACCUGCAGAAGAAGCACCGGCUAACUAUGUG
RNAcentral lists this ribosomal RNA (467 nucleotides) under uncultured bacterium. Its description in RNAcentral is "partial 16S ribosomal RNA". It matches the Rfam family "Bacterial small subunit ribosomal RNA", at positions 28 to 507 of the family's 1533-position model. The record is from RNAcentral.